AGGUCAUCCACUUCACUGCCACAAAUACACAAAGCUCAAAAUCGUCUUCUGAGUUGCUUGUGCCUCUGUUGUAAUUCUGGACCGAUCUAUAUGGUUGAGACAUAGAAAUGGCAAUUUCUCUCAAUUCUGUUGGGUUCAACUCAAAGGUAAUGCCUUUUCUCUUUACUUCGCUUGUCUCUCAUCUUUCCUCUCAAUUUGCUUACGCUGCCUGACCUCACUUCAACUACUGUUUAAGUUUUGAAUCCUUUUAGUCUCUUUUGGGUUAUUCAUUUUCAGGUGCUUGAACUCUUAAUUUACACUUUCUUUGAUACUUUGCCAGUGUUAGAUGACCUACAAUUUGUGCCUGUUCUUUAUCUGGGUGAAUUUUUGCAGAUGAAUUAAGACACAUUUCAGACUUUAAAAGAAAAGUGAAGCUUUGUUAUCUAACAGUUAUAGUAUUUAGGGCCCUUUUGGCAUUAUUAUUUUAGCUGCUGUUUGAUAACUUAAUAUAAUAUCAGUUAGAUACCAUUAAAAUUGAUUUUGAGUUAAAUUUGACAUAUUUUAGUUAUAAGGACUCUAAACAACUAAAUAGCUUUUGGGACUGCUUUUUCAACGGUACCUAAAAUUGUGCUUUUUCAGAAAGUAGGUUAUAACCAUAAUCUCAAACAAGUCUUUAGUAGUGUGAAGGUAACGUAUUUUUUUUUUCUUUUUUUAAAAACUGUUUAGAAGCUAUUAGGGCUGUUAUUCUAUUGAGCGAUACUAGUGAUGUUUAGACUGAUAAUUGCAUAUAUUUUUGGAUUCUAUGCUCUCCACUUCUUUUGGUUGCAUGAGAAAUUUAAGCAUCCAUGAUUAAAUUCCAGAGAAUUGGCUCUUAAUUGGCUGUAUUGAUUGUGAAAAUGAAGAACAAUUUGUUGACCAUAUUCCUUUUUUAUCCGCCUGUUUAGUUAAUGCAGUGACCUUUGUUUCAUGUUUAGCAAAAUGAAAUUCUAUUUUCAAAUGAUUUGGCUUGUUAUUCUGCAAUAAUGAUAAGGCACAUUUAAGAGAGAGGGGUGGGGUUUUCAGCCAAUUCUUGUAAUAUGGCAAUGUUGAGUUUUCAAUUCAUAAGAUCUAGUCUUUUUGUCCUUGCAUCUUUUGACUGCAAUUCCUCAAUCCUUCUAGGUUUGCCUUCUGUUAAUAUUUUGGGGAUUUAAUUUAAAAUUAUAAUGUUUUAUAUGAUUUUAGGGAAAGAAAUGUAGUACUCUGCAAAAAAUCAUUGUUUUGUUUGUCUCUCUCUCAACAUGAAGAAGCUGUCCCACCAAGAUCAACUCAUAUAACAAACUCUUACUUUUCUGCCUCUUUUUUUUCUCUUUCCCAAAUCAGUAUAACCAUUCUAUUGGUUUGCUGUUAAGAUAACAGAAAGAGGGAGGAGAGUGGUGAAGGGGAGCUUGAACUACUUGACCUGUUGCUUCCACCUCCAUAACAAGUCUAAACCAUAAAUUAUGAGGGGAAUGUUCCUGCUACUGACUAAUGUGCAUGUAAUAUUUAAAGAUGUACACCUGUUUGUUUAAAGCUUAUGUUGUUAGUUCUUUCCUACAGUUCGUCUCCUAUUACAGCUAAUGAAAAAAUGGAAAAAUUGAAACACUAGCAGGCAGCUUGCUCCAUCUUGCAUCAAGUGUACUCAUUACCAGUCAUGCGUUGUUAAGAAAUUUAUGACACUUUUACUAUGUGUUUUCUUCUCUAGCUGUAUAUUGGAAAUUAAUUGUAGUAUUAUAAGAUCAAUUGAUCAUGGUAGGGACAUAGUCUAUGUCUUUGGGCUCAGAAUUAUUGUCCAUAUCAGGCUUCACCACAGAAAAAGUAGGGUAUAUAUCCCUUUCUGUGCUAAUUGCAUGAACCUAGAAUAUAACUUCAGAAUAGUCAACAAAUUGCAACCAUGGUUACUUUUUUCUGAAUUAGGAAUAUGUAAUGUUUUCAAGUGAUCCUGUUUCAUGUCGAUUUUAAUAGUUCAAAGCUCUGUUUCUAUAAAUGAUAGAAGUGAAAAACAUUUAACAAAUAUGUUGGAAUGAAUUUCAAAUCUUUUGACAGGAGAAUUUUACACUUCUUUUUGUCUUUGUUGCAUAUUUGCCACUUAGCAGCUACAAUACUUAUCAUUAAAACAAUAUUAGAAAACCAAGUCUAACUUCCCAGGUGUUAAGAUUAGAGAUCCUAAAAUGUUAUUAAGCCUUAACCUAUUUUGUAUUCUUUAGGUGUAAAUGGGCAAACACAUGGAAAAGACAAAGGCAAUGCGAACGUGAAUAAUGGGGAGUGUAGACUCAGCUUCAUACCAUAUUAGAAAACCUAAGUCUAACCUUAAAACCCAGGUGUUAAGAUUAGAGGUCAUAAAUUGUUCAGAAGCCUCAACUUCUUUUGCAUUUUUUAGAUGUACGAUUUUAAUCUCUAACAAAUAAAAUGUGGUGUAGACGUAUUUAUGCCUAAUGAUUACUUAGAAAAGUGUUUCUUGAUUAAAAGUUGCCAGCUAUGUACCAGCAUGCGUCAAGAUCUUCUCCUCGAGCUUCAUCAUCUAAGACUACCCAAGUCAUUUUCCCCCUGGGAAUGAUUGGUUCAAGGGUUCAUACAAAGGGAAGGGGAAUGUGUCUUUCAGUUGCAGACAGUGAUCGUCUUGCUACGGACACCAGUGAUAAUAGUCCUGGUAGUGCUGAAGGUUCAAUUUCUAAUAAUCAGCUUUCAUCCUUGGAUUCUCCUGGAGGAACUAGCCAGCUCCAAACUAGUGUUGAUAAUGAGCCAGGACCUCAAACCUCUGGAGUUUCUAGUGGUUCCACAAUUCUAUCAGAUGUGAAGCCGGAGAGACGACCUAACUUCCAAUCUACAGCCAAUAGAUCACCUCUAACAGCAAGAGAGAGACUAAAGGCUGCCAGGGUUCUCAGUCGUUAUACGGAAUCAAAGGCAUCAAAAUCAGAAAUGGGCAGCAAAGUACUAGAUGCUCUGAAGGAAAGUGAAAAGGGAAAGAAGAGAUCUGGCCUUCCAGAAGCCCCUACAAACUUGUUUGAUGACAGUGACAGAGGGAUGCCAAAGGAAGGAUGGACAUUUGAGUUUCCAGGAGGUGCUGAUCUAUUUGUGAUAGUGUUUUCAUUUGUUUUCAUCAGCACAGUUAUGUUUGCAACAACUUAUGUUGUCUGGAAAGUUGGUGCAAUCCAUUUCAAUGAGUACUAAGGUGAAGUUCAAAGGGAUUCUGCAUUUUCGGUUACCCAUUAAAGAUCAUACUGUUUUGACGUCAGGCACAUAUGGGGUAGGAUUUUAAAGGUAUUUUAAGACGAGAUACAUGCAUUCAUGUUCAAAAGUUGUUUGGCCCGCAUUUAUGUAUCAAAGAUUUGCAUUUGGGAAUGCCAACAGAUGCCCCCACUUUUGUAUUUCAUUUGUUGGUGAUUAUGGUGCUUAAUCCUUGUUAUAUUACCACAUGUAUAUUUCUCUUUCGUUGAGGCAAAACACAUGCGCACUCGGGGUCAAGGAUAGGAAUGGACUGCUGUCCUUAUUCUUAUAUAACUCAUACACACAAACUUCACAGCAGUCGAUGUGUAAUCCCAAAAGAUUAGCCCAAUGAGCACGCUCCACGUGAGACCUCAACUAUGGACCAAACACAUAUAUAUUGCA
RNAcentral lists this unclassified non-coding RNA (3603 nucleotides) under Hevea brasiliensis (rubber tree). Lineage: Eukaryota; Viridiplantae; Streptophyta; Magnoliopsida; Malpighiales; Euphorbiaceae. The record is from RNAcentral.